This 497-nucleotide ribosomal RNA is filed under the name uncultured bacterium. RNAcentral describes it as "partial 16S ribosomal RNA". It matches the Rfam family "Bacterial small subunit ribosomal RNA", at positions 28 to 507 of the family's 1533-position model. The record is from RNAcentral.
GAUGAACGCUGGCGGCGUGCCUAAUACAUGCAAGUCGAGCGAACAGACGAGGAGCUUGCUCCUCUGACGUUAGCGGCGGACGGGUGAGUAACACGUGGAUAACCUACCUAUAAGACUGGGAUAACUUCGGGAAACCGGAGCUAAUACCGGAUAAUAUAUUGAACCGCAUGGUUCAAUAGUGAAAGACGGUUUUGCUGUCACUUAUAGAUGGAUCCGCGCCGCAUUAGCUAGUUGGUAAGGUAACGGCUUACCAAGGCGACGAUGCGUAGCCGACCUGAGAGGGUGAUCGGUCACACUGGAACUGAGACACGGUCCAGACUCCUACGGGAGGCAGCAGUAGGGAAUCUUCCGCAAUGGGCGAAAGCCUGACGGAGCAACGCCGCGUGAGUGAUGAAGGUCUUCGGAUCGUAAAACUCUGUUAUUAGGGAAGAACGAAUGUGUAAGUAACUAUGCACGUCUUGACGGUACCUAAUCAGAAAGCCACGGCUAACUACGUG